Molecule: long non-coding RNA, 471 nt
Filed under: Physcomitrium patens
Lineage: Eukaryota; Viridiplantae; Streptophyta; Bryopsida; Funariales; Funariaceae
Description: long non-coding RNA (PPAT_LNC009913)
Source: RNAcentral
AAACACCAAGGCUUACUACUUCCGUCUUAAUUGAACACAUAAUCCAUUCUAUGACUAUCAAUUCAACAAUACUUCCAUAUUCUUAUCAGUUCAUCUCCCACUUACUCUCUUUGCAGUUUAUAUAUAUUCAAUUACUGAUCUCCAACUUACUUAUUAUAUUCAAUUUCUCAAUUCAACACAUAGAAUUCAAUAUCUUCACUUAACACAACACAAUUCAAUAAUCUCAAUUCUCAAGGUCACAGAUUUUCUCCAAAACAAUUAGUCCAAAGUCAUAUUCCACAAUACUCUAAUCAUAGUUUCAAGAAUACUUCUCUCAAUCACAAUUCUUCAUAAGCAAAUAAUAAAAGCAAAGUAAACAAAGAGGUAGCACCAAGCUUACUCUGGCUUAUGAUCCUCAGAGUGUGGCCCUCAUAAAUCAAUCUCUGAUUUAUUCCACACACUCAAUUCUCAGUAUUCAGAAACUAUCCAUUA